This 549-nucleotide ribosomal RNA is filed under the name uncultured bacterium. RNAcentral's name for it is "bacterial SSU rRNA". It matches the Rfam family "Bacterial small subunit ribosomal RNA", at positions 355 to 896 of the family's 1533-position model. The record is from RNAcentral.
UGGGGAAUAUUGGACAAUGGGCGAAAGCCUGAUCCAGCCAUGCCGCGUGUGUGAAGAAGGCCUUUUGGUUGUAAAGCACUUUAAGUGGGGAGGAAAAGCUUAUGGUUAAUACCCAUAAGCCCUGACGUUACCCACAGAAUAAGCACCGGCUAACUCUGUGCCAGCAGCCGCGGUAAUACAGAGGGUGCAAGCGUUAAUCGGAAUUACUGGGCGUAAAGCGCGCGUAGGUGGUUAUUUAAGUCAGAUGUGAAAGCCCCGGGCUUAACCUGGGAACUGCAUCUGAUACUGGAUAACUAGAGUAGGUGAGAGGGGAGUAGAAUUCCAGGUGUAGCGGUGAAAUGCGUAGAGAUCUGGAGGAAUACCGAUGGUGAAGGCAGCUCCCUGGCAUCAUACUGACACUGAGGUGCGAAAGCGUGGGUAGCAAACAGGAUUAGAUACCCUGGUAGUCCACGCCGUAAACGAUGUCUACCAGUCGUUGGGUCUUUUAAAGACUUAGUGACGCAGUUAACGCAAUAAGUAGACCGCCUGGGGAGUACGGCCGCAAGGUUA